GAUGAACGCUGGCGGCGUGCCUAAUACAUGCAAGUCGAGCGACGCGGGGACGCGUGUGUAACACGUGUAUAACCUUCUCUAUGACUGGGAUAACCCCGGGAAACCGGCGUUAAAUUGGACACGUAUAUAUGGACCCGCGCUGCAUUAUCUAGUUGGUAAGGUAAGGGCUUACAAAGGCAACGAUGCAUGGCCGACCUGAGAGGGUGACCGGCCACACUGGAACGGGUAAAGGGUCCAGGCUCCUACGGGAGAGAUAGGUAGGGAAUUUUCCGAAUUGGGCGAAAGCCGGACGGAGCAACGCCGCGUGAGUGAGGAAGGUCUUCGGAUGGUAAAACUCUGUUAUUAGGGAAGCGGUACCUAAUCAGAAAGCCACGGCUAACUACGUGCCAGCAGCCGCGGUAAUAC
Molecule: ribosomal RNA, 405 nt
Filed under: uncultured bacterium
Lineage: Bacteria
Description: partial 16S ribosomal RNA
Rfam family: Bacterial small subunit ribosomal RNA
Source: RNAcentral